CAGUCGCCGCGGUAAUACGUAGGUGGCAAGCGUUGUCCGGAAUUAUUGGGCGUAAAGCGCGCGCAGGCGGAUCAGUUAGUCUGUCUUAAAAGUUCGGGGCUUAACCCCGUGAUGGGAUGGAAACUGCUGAUCUAGAGUAUCGGAGAGGAAAGUGGAAUUCCUUGUGUAGCGGUGAAAUGCGUAGAUAUUAGGAAGAACACCAGUGGCGAAGGCGACUUUCUGGACGAAAACUGACGCUGAGGCGCGAAAGCCAGGGGAGCGAACGGGAUUAGAUACCCGCGUAGUCCCUGUCUCUUAUACA
Molecule: ribosomal RNA, 301 nt
Filed under: uncultured bacterium
Lineage: Bacteria
Description: partial 16S ribosomal RNA
Rfam family: Bacterial small subunit ribosomal RNA
Source: RNAcentral